RNAcentral lists this ribosomal RNA (253 nucleotides) under uncultured bacterium. RNAcentral describes it as "partial 16S ribosomal RNA". It matches the Rfam family "Bacterial small subunit ribosomal RNA", at positions 524 to 776 of the family's 1533-position model. The record is from RNAcentral.
UACGGGGGGGGCAAGCGUUGUUCGGAAUUACUGGGCGUAAAGGGCGCGUAGGCGGCCUGUUAAGUCGAACGUGAAAUCCCCGGGCUCAACCCGGGAACUGCGUCCGAUACUGGCAGGCUUGAAUCCGGGAGAGGGAUGCGGAAUUCCAGGUGUAGCGGUGAAAUGCGUAGAUAUCUGGAGGAACACCGAUGGCGAAGGCAGCCUUCUGGGCCAACACUGACGCUCAUGCACGAAAGCGUGGGGAGCAAACAGG